UUUGAUGUUUUUGGGAAGGAAUUUUGAGGAUUUCAAAAUUCUGUGUAGGAUUUUGAAGAAUUAUUCAGGAUUAAGUGUAUAUGUGUAUAUGUGUUGUGAUUAUGGUAUUAUAUGUGUACAGAAUGUGGUUAGGGGUCAAGGGUUGACCAAAUAAAUUUUAUCAGUGUCAAACCCUAAUAUUAUUAAGAACGUCAAUGUUCAGUUAGAAAACCCUAGCAAUGGAUAAGAAACCCUAGAAACCGGUUCUAAAACCUUAAUUUCGGUUUUG
RNAcentral lists this long non-coding RNA (268 nucleotides) under Panax ginseng (ginseng). Its description in RNAcentral is "long non-coding RNA (PGIN_LNC002475)". The record is from RNAcentral. Lineage: Eukaryota; Viridiplantae; Streptophyta; Magnoliopsida; Apiales; Araliaceae.